GAUGAACGCUAGCUACAGGCUUAACACAUGCAAGUCGAGGGACCGGCGCACGGGUGAGUAACACGUAUCCAACCUGACCUUUACUCGGGGAUAGCCUUUCGAAAGAAAGAUUAAUACUCGAUAUAAAGGAUGGGGAUGCGUUCCAUUAGGUUGUUGGUGAGGUAACGGCCCACCAAGCCUUCGAUGGAUAGGGGUUCGGAGAGGAAGGUCCCCUGCGUUGGACCUGAGGCCUGGCCCAACCUCCUAGGGGGGGCAGCGGAGGUGAGUAUUGGUCAAGCGGGCCUAGCGUGAACCAGCCACUUAGAGUAAAUGAGGAUGGCUUUUGUGUCGUAAUUUUUUUGUAUGUAAGGAUAGGUAUUAUAUGAAUAAGGACCGGCUAACUCCGUGCCAGCAGCCGCGGUAAUAC
This 406-nucleotide ribosomal RNA is filed under the name uncultured bacterium. RNAcentral's name for it is "partial 16S ribosomal RNA". It matches the Rfam family "Bacterial small subunit ribosomal RNA", at positions 28 to 526 of the family's 1533-position model. The record is from RNAcentral.